UGUUGAUCAAAAACAUUGUCACCUGCUACACUACUAUAGGUGAUAAAUCCUGCCCAAUGAAUAUUUAAUGGCCGCGGUAUCCUGACCGUGCAAAGGUAGCGAAAUCAUUUGUCUAUUAAUUGUAGACCUGUAUGAAUGGACCAACGCAGAUAAAACUUUCCUCUCCGUAAACAUAAAACCUAAUCUUCGGGUGAAGAAGCCCAAAUAUAAUCGUAAGACAAGAAGACCCUAUAGAACUUUACUUUAAGAGAUAAUCUUCAUAUCUCAACUGUUUGGUUGGGGCGACCUGGGAAACUCAAAACCUCCCAUCAACCAUAGAAAUUCAUUUCACACAAUCGAUCCUAAAUCUAGAUCAUAGAAACAAGCUACCUUAGGGAUAACAGGCUAAUUUUCCUAGAGAGCCCAUAUUAACAGGAAAGUUUGGCACCUCGAUGUUGGCUUAGGACCUCUCUAUGAUGCAGCAGUCAUAGUUAGAUGGUUUGUUCAACCAUUAAUAUCCUACGUGAUCUGAGUUCAA
This 517-nucleotide ribosomal RNA is filed under the name Limnodriloides armatus. Its description in RNAcentral is "partial 16S ribosomal RNA". It matches the Rfam family "Bacterial large subunit ribosomal RNA", at positions 1801 to 2614 of the family's 2925-position model. Lineage: Eukaryota; Metazoa; Annelida; Clitellata; Tubificida; Naididae. The record is from RNAcentral.